This 57-nucleotide transfer RNA is filed under the name Parcubacteria group bacterium CG08_land_8_20_14_0_20_38_56. Its description in RNAcentral is "tRNA-Asn". It matches the Rfam family "tRNA", at positions 8 to 63 of the family's 71-position model. Rfam says of the family: Transfer RNA (tRNA) molecules are approximately 80 nucleotides in length. Their secondary structure includes four short double-helical elements and three loops (D, anti-codon, and T loops). The record is from RNAcentral.
UGGCGCAAUGGUAGCGCGGCUCGCUGUUAACGAGAAGGUUGUAGGUUCGAAUCCUAC